GGGGGUUUAGCUCAUUGGCAGAGCGUUCGCUUCGCAUGCGAAAUGUCCGGGGUUCAAACACCCGUACCUCCA
This is a non-coding RNA of Trichonephila clavipes, 72 nucleotides long. NCBI's taxonomy places the organism in Eukaryota, Metazoa, Arthropoda, Arachnida, Araneae, Nephilidae. The record is from the annotation of a GenBank genome assembly.